GGGCCCGCACAAGCGGUGGAGCAUGUGGUUUAAUUCGAUGAUACGCGAGGAACCUUACCAGGGCUUAAAUGUAAGUUGCAUAGAUCAGAGAUGGUCUUUUCUUCGGACUACUUACAAGGUGCUGCAUGGUUGUCGUCAGCUCGUGCCGUGAGGUGUCAGGUUAAGUCCUAUAACGAGCGCAACCCCUGUCGUUAGUUACCAGCAAGUAAUGUUGGGUACUCUAGCGAGACUGCCGGUGCAAACCGUGAGGAAGGUGGGGAUGACGUCAAAUCAUCACGGCCCUUACGUCCUGGCUACACACGUGCUACAAUGGCCGGUACAGAGAGCAGCAAGCUAGCGAUAGUAAG
RNAcentral lists this ribosomal RNA (347 nucleotides) under uncultured bacterium. Its description in RNAcentral is "bacterial SSU rRNA". It matches the Rfam family "Bacterial small subunit ribosomal RNA", at positions 917 to 1267 of the family's 1533-position model. The record is from RNAcentral.